This 540-nucleotide ribosomal RNA is filed under the name uncultured eukaryote. RNAcentral describes it as "SSU rRNA". It matches the Rfam family "Eukaryotic small subunit ribosomal RNA", at positions 202 to 747 of the family's 1831-position model. The record is from RNAcentral.
UGUAUUUAUUAGAUAAAAAACCAAUGCCCUUCGGGGCUCCUUGGUGAAUCAUAAUAACUUAACGAAUCGCAUGGCCUUGCGCCGGCGAUGGUUCAUUCAAAUUUCUGCCCUAUCAACUUUCGAUGGUAGGAUAGUGGCCUACCAUGGUGGCAACGGGUAACGGGGAAUUAGGGUUCGAUUCCGGAGAGGGAGCCUGAGAAACGGCUACCACAUCCAAGGAAGGCAGCAGGCGCGCAAAUUACCCAAUCCCGACACGGGGAGGUAGUGACAAUAAAUACUGAUACGGGGCUCUUUUGGGUCUCGUAAUUGGAAUGAGUACAAUCUAAAUCCCUUAACGAGGAACAAUUGGAGGGCAAGUCUGGUGCCAGCAGCCGCGGUAAUUCCGGCUCCAAUAGCGUAUAUUAAAGUUGUUGCAGUUAAAAAGCUCGUAGUUGAACCUUGGGUCUGGCUGGCCGGUCCGCCUCACCGCGAGUACUGGUCCGGCUGGACCUUUCCUUCUGGGGAAUCUCAUGGCCUUCACUGGCUGUGGGGGGAACCAGG